AUCAUUAUCCACCUGACCGUUUGCUCUUUUUCCGUUUGCUUUUUUUUCGGUUCAGGCCUUUCUUGCAUUGCUUUUUCCUUUUCUUUUCUUUUCUUUCUUUUUUACUUUUUUUUUCUUUUCGUUUUUUCAUUUUUUUUCUUUUUUUCAUUUUUUUUAGCAGGAUCGACCUCGAUUCCUCUUUCGGUCACAAUAAACCUCAG
Molecule: long non-coding RNA, 200 nt
Filed under: Lathyrus oleraceus (garden pea)
Lineage: Eukaryota; Viridiplantae; Streptophyta; Magnoliopsida; Fabales; Fabaceae
Description: Pisum sativum (pea) long non-coding RNA (PSAT_LNC034487)
Source: RNAcentral